CGGGUGAGUAACACGUGGGUAACCUACCCAUCAGAGGGGGAUAACACUUGGAAACAGGUGCUAAUACCGCAUAACAGUUUAUGCCGCAUGGCAUAAGAGUGAAAGGCGCUUUCGGGUGUCGCUGAUGGAUGGACCCGCGGUGCAUUAGCUAGUUGGUGAGGUAACGGCUCACCAAGGCCACGAUGCAUAGCCGACCUGAGAGGGUGAUCGGCCACACUGGGACUGAGACACGGCCCAGACUCCUACGGGAGGCAGCAGUAGGGAAUCUUCGGCAAUGGACGAAAGUCUGACCGAGCAACGCCGCGUGAGUGAAGAAGGUUUUCGGAUCGUAAAACUCUGUUGUUAGAGAAGAACAAGGACGUUAGUAACUGAACGUCCCCUGACGGUAUCUAACCAGAAAGCCACGGCUAACUACGUG
This 418-nucleotide ribosomal RNA is filed under the name Enterococcus faecalis. RNAcentral's name for it is "bacterial SSU rRNA". It matches the Rfam family "Bacterial small subunit ribosomal RNA", at positions 103 to 507 of the family's 1533-position model. Lineage: Bacteria; Bacillati; Bacillota; Bacilli; Lactobacillales; Enterococcaceae. The record is from RNAcentral.